Molecule: long non-coding RNA, 1344 nt
Filed under: Ursus americanus (American black bear)
Lineage: Eukaryota; Metazoa; Chordata; Mammalia; Carnivora; Ursidae
Description: lncRNA (ENSUAMG00000013456.1)
Source: RNAcentral
GUCAGUACAUUUACAUAGACUCACUCCCAUUUAUCUGGGAGGCAGGAAGGGCAAGGCAGGAGUGGCUGGUUGACACACUAUUAUACAAUCAUCUGGAAAUCUAAUUUGUGGAACCAGUAGCCAUCUGUUCCAUGGGUAAUAUGCCAAGGUACCCGCCAACAACAGAACAAGCUUUCUGCUGUUGGGUAACUAAUUGCAUCUAUGGGACCAACACAGCAUGAGACUCAACUCGUGGAACGUGAUCCUUCACCGAAUUGCUAUUUCUGCUCGGGUGGUUCUGCGUCAGUGAGCAUAGUACAAGGACCGAUACAGCUGUAGGAGGAUGGAGAGGCUGGGUAGCCCUGCGCUCCCAGAAUGUGGUAGGUCUGCAGGUAUGAGGGGCAAGCUGUGCAGGAGAUUGUGGUUCUGCUGUGGUCGUUUCCCUCCCCCUCCCCGAGAAAAAGAGACGGCUGACUCAGUAGGAAGCUGGGAAUGAAGAUACAAGAAGGGCUUAUAAGUUGAUAUCAGUGGUUUUUUAAUACCUUCUGAAUUUUUUUUUUCUUUUUAAGUCCCUUUAUUUAAAGCCUGGAGCGAGUAGAAUGUGCAAAAGGUAUAAAAUCAACGUCUUCGCCCUGUCACCACAAGUGACAUGGCGGCUCUUCCUCCGUAAUGAACUUCUCUUGGGAAAAGACCUCUUGUUCUUCCACAACAACCAGCACCCUGGAGGAACAAGCUGAUGUGUACGUCUUAGCUUCCCAGUUCUUCUUCAAAGUCUCAGAGAAGUCCUUUCGCAUGGACACCUUUGCAGCCGCGCUCCCAAACGCCUCGGCACCAGGGCUUGACCACGAUGCACUGACUGUAUUUGAAGGGAGGUGAUCACACAGGAGAAACGCCUUCAGAUUGGAAAGUAAACAGUCUGCGGUAAGUUCCACUGAUAACUAAAUGUAUUCUCAAAGCCAUUUUCUUUCCUUGGCUUAUAUUUCUGUUUUCUGCUUUCAAAGUUGAGGCCCCACAAGGAAAAGCCUGCUGGAAUAUGCAAGACGUGGUUAUGGGAACUGGGGCAAUUUCUUUGUGGAACAAUUUAGCGAUACCUGUUAAAGCUUGAAGACUCACAUAGGCUACAGCCCACAAGUCCAUUGCUAGAGACAGAAAAUCCUCCACAAGCAGGAGAAAUUCGCCGAAAAAGUGCACUUCGACAUUGUCCAUCAUCGUUAAAAAAGAAAACAUAAAUGUACAUAAAAAAAAAAAAAAAGAAUAGAUAAAAUCGGAGUGGCUACAGCUCAGUAUUGCGACUCCGCUAGUGAUACUACCGGCCAUUCUCUACUCCACGACGGUGGGGCGCACUGGGCCAGACUGCAGGUCGGG